This 447-nucleotide ribosomal RNA is filed under the name uncultured bacterium. RNAcentral describes it as "bacterial SSU rRNA". It matches the Rfam family "Bacterial small subunit ribosomal RNA", at positions 355 to 825 of the family's 1533-position model. The record is from RNAcentral.
UCGGGAAUUUUGGGCAAUGGGGGAAACCCUGACCCAGCAACGCCGCGUGAAGGAUGAAGUAUUUCGGUAUGUAAACUUCGAAAGAAUAGGAAGAAUAAAUGACGGUACUAUUUAUAAGGUCCGGCUAACUACGUGCCAGCAGCCGCGGUAAUACGUAGGGACCAAGCGUUGUUCGGAUUUACUGGGCGUAAAGGGCGCGUAGGCGGCAUGACAAGUCACUUGUGAAAUCUCUGGGCUUAACCCAGAACGGCCAAGUGAUACUGCUUUGCUAGAGUGCAGAAGGGGCAAUCGGAAUUCUUGGUGUAGCGGUGAAAUGCGUAGAUAUCAAGAGGAACACCUGAGGUGAAGACGGGUUGCUGGGCUGACACUGACGCUGAGGUGCGAAAGCGUGGGGAGCAAACAGGAUUAGAUACCCAGGUAGUCCCUGAGCGGGCUGGCAAGGCGCAU